RNAcentral lists this ribosomal RNA (1345 nucleotides) under uncultured bacterium. RNAcentral describes it as "bacterial SSU rRNA". It matches the Rfam family "Bacterial small subunit ribosomal RNA", at positions 28 to 1381 of the family's 1533-position model. The record is from RNAcentral.
GACGAACGCUGGCGGUGUGCUUAACACAUGCAAGUCGAACGAUGAAGCGGUGCUUGCACCGUGGAUUAGUGGCGAACGGGUGAGUAAUACGUGAGUGACCUACCUUUGACUCUGGGAUAAGCCUGGGAAACUGGGUCUAAUACCGGAUACGACCAAUCUCUGCAUGGGGUGUUGGUGGAAAGCGUUAUGGAGUGGUUUUAGAUGGGCUCACGGCCUAUCAGCUUGUUGGUGAGGUAAUGGCUUACCAAGGCGACGACGGGUAGCCGGCCUGAGAGGGUGACCGGCCACACUGGGACUGAGACACGGCCCAGACUCCUACGGGAGGCAGCAGUGGGGAAUAUUGCACAAUGGGCGCAAGCCUGAUGCAGCGACGCCGCGUGAGGGAUGACGGCCUUCGGGUUGUAAACCUCUGUUAGCAUCGAAGAAGCGAAAGUGACGGUAGGUGCAGAGAAAGCGCCGGCUAACUACGUGCCAGCAGCCGCGGUAAUACGUAGGGCGCGAGCGUUGUCCGGAAUUAUUGGGCGUAAAGAGCUUGUAGGCGGUUGGUCACGUCUGCUGUGAAGGCCGGGGCUUAACUCCGGUUUUGCAGUGGGUACGGGCUAACUAGAGUGCAGUAGGGGAGACUGGAAUUCCUGGUGUAGCGGUGGAAUGCACAGAUAUCAGGAGGAACACCGAUGGCGAAGGCAGGUCUCUGGGCUGUAACUGACGCUGAGAAGCGAAAGCAUGGGGAGCGAACAGGAUUAGAUACCCUGGUAGUCCAUGCCGUAAACGUUGGGCACUAGGUGUGGGGGACAUUCCACGUUUUCCGCGCCGUAGCUAACGCAUUAAGUGCCCCGCCUGGGGAGUACGGCCGCAAGGCUAAAACUCAAAGGAAUUGACGGGGGCCCGCACAAGCGGCGGAGCAUGCGGAUUAAUUCGAUGCAACGCGGAGAACCUUACCAAGGCUUGACAUGCAUUAGAUCGCGUCAGAGAUGGCGUUUCCCUUCGGGGCUGGUGUACAGGUGGUGCAUGGUUGUCGUCAGCUCGUGUCGUGAGAUGUUGGGUUAAGUCCCGCAACGAGCGCAACCCUCGUUCUAUGUUGCCAGCGGUUCGGCCGGGGACUCAUAGGAGACUGCCGGGGUCAACUCGGAGGAAGGUGGGGAUGACGUCAAAUCAUCAUACCCCUUAUGUCUUGGGCUUCACGCAUGCUACAAUGGCCGGUACAGAGGGUUGCGAUACUGUGAGGUGGAGCUAAUCCCUUAAAGCCGGUCUCAGUUCGGAUUGGGGUCUGCAACUCGACCCCAUGAAGUCGGAGUCGCUAGUAAUCGCAGAUCAGCAACGCUGCGGUGAAUACGUUCCCGGGCCU